UGGCGGACGGGUGAGUAACGCGUGGAAAACCUGCCGUAUACUGGGGGAUAACACUUAGAAAUAGGUGCUAAUACCGCAUAAGCGCACAGCUUCGCAUGAAGUGGUGUGAAAAACUCUGGUGGUAUACGAUGGUUCCGCGUCUGAUUAGCUUGUUGGCGGGGUAACGGCCCACCAAGGCGACGAUCAGUAGCCGGCCUGAGAGGGUGGACGGCCACAUUGGGACUGAGACACGGCCCAAACUCCUACGGAAGGCAGCAG
Molecule: ribosomal RNA, 258 nt
Filed under: uncultured bacterium
Lineage: Bacteria
Description: partial 16S ribosomal RNA
Rfam family: Bacterial small subunit ribosomal RNA
Source: RNAcentral